Molecule: ribosomal RNA, 427 nt
Filed under: uncultured bacterium
Lineage: Bacteria
Description: bacterial SSU rRNA
Rfam family: Bacterial small subunit ribosomal RNA
Source: RNAcentral
UCGAGAAUUUUUCUCAAUGGGCGAAAGCCUGAAGGAGCGACGCCGCGUGGGGGAUGAAUGGCUUCGGCCCGUAAACCCCUGUCAUUUGCGAACAAAUUGUUUCACCUAAUACGUGAAGCAUUGAUAGUAGCGGAAGAGGAAGGGACGGCUAACUCUGUGCCAGCAGCCGCGGUAAUACAGAGGUCCCAAGCGUUGUUCGGAUUUACUGGGCGUAAAGGGUGCGUAGGCGGUCGGGUAAGUCUGGUGUGAAAUCUUCGAGCUUAACUCGGAAACUGCAUUGGAUACUAUUCGGCUGGAGAGUUGGAGGGGGGACUGGAAUACUUGGUGUAGCAGUGAAAUGCGUAGAUAUCAAGUGGAACACCAGUGGCGAAGGCGAGUCCCUGGACAACUGCUGACGCUGAGGCACGAAAGCUAGGGGAGCAAACAG